GCAGGGAUGGCGCAGUGGUGAGAGCACUCGCCUCCCACCCAUGUGGCCUGGGUUCGAAUCCCAGAACCGGCG
Molecule: transfer RNA, 72 nt
Filed under: Desmophyllum pertusum
Lineage: Eukaryota; Metazoa; Cnidaria; Anthozoa; Scleractinia; Caryophylliidae
Description: tRNA-Gly
Rfam family: tRNA
About the family: Transfer RNA (tRNA) molecules are approximately 80 nucleotides in length.
Source: RNAcentral